UCGGGAAUUUUGGGCAAUGGGCGAAAGCCUGACCCAGCAACGCCGCGUGAAGGAUGAAGUAUUUCGGUAUGUAAACUUCGAAAGAAUAGGAAGAAUAAAUGACGGUACUAUUUAUAAGGUCCGGCUAACUACGUGCCAGCAGCCGCGGUAAUACGUAGGGACCAAGCGUUGUUCGGAUUUACUGGGCGUAAGGGGCGCGUAGGCGGCAAUUCAAGUCAUCUGUGAAAUCUCCGGGCUUAACUCGGAACGGUCAGAUGAUACUGCUUUGCUAGAGUGCAGAAGGGGCAAUCGGAAUUCUUGGUGUAGCGGUGAAAUGCGUAGAUAUCAAGAGGAACACCUGAGGUGAAGACGGGUUGCUGGGCUGACACUGACGCUGAGGCGCGAAAGCCAGGGGAGCAAACGGGAUUAGAUACCCCUGUAGUCCCUGAGCGGGCUGGCAAGGCGCAU
RNAcentral lists this ribosomal RNA (447 nucleotides) under uncultured bacterium. RNAcentral describes it as "bacterial SSU rRNA". It matches the Rfam family "Bacterial small subunit ribosomal RNA", at positions 355 to 825 of the family's 1533-position model. The record is from RNAcentral.